GGGGGUGUACUGGCUUCGACGGGGGUAGCGAGAUGACUUGGUGCAUGCCGAGGGGGCAGCUUUCCUCGUUAAUCCAGCAGCAAACUCAUAGUUGCCAACGACGACAACUACGCUCUCGCCGCUUAAGGCGUAAGCCCCGAACCCACUUG
RNAcentral lists this transfer-messenger RNA (149 nucleotides) under Rhodanobacter sp. RNAcentral describes it as "partial transfer-messenger RNA". It matches the Rfam family "transfer-messenger RNA", at positions 1 to 155 of the family's 374-position model. From Rfam's summary of the family: Bacterial tmRNA, also known as 10Sa RNA or SsrA, is named for its dual tRNA and mRNA-like properties. Its role is to liberate the mRNA from a stalled ribosome. To accomplish this part of the tmRNA is used as a reading frame that ends in a translation stop signal. Lineage: Bacteria; Pseudomonadati; Pseudomonadota; Gammaproteobacteria; Lysobacterales; Rhodanobacteraceae. The record is from RNAcentral.